Gymnogyps californianus (California condor) is the source of this 834-nucleotide long non-coding RNA. RefSeq lists it as uncharacterized. The record is from RefSeq and is a predicted model, not a curated record. NCBI's taxonomy places the organism in Eukaryota, Metazoa, Chordata, Aves, Accipitriformes, Cathartidae. The transcript is spliced from 4 exons.
GAGCUUCAGCAGUAUUGGAUACAGUAUCAGUUAAGUGACUGUUGCAUUUGUUAUUGCUAUUAGCAUUCAAGAUUGCAGCACAAAAGCAAAGAGAAGCUCAAAGUGCAGAGCAAUGCUGGAUUACAGGAAGACUUAAAACAUUGGAAGUCUUUAAGAUGAGAGUUCUCUUUCAGGCUUCAGAGGUGCAUGGUGACAUCUGAAGGGACUUCUCUGAUAUAAGACCAGCCCAGUGAAGUGCUGUAAUGAUCAUGGUUUCAGCUCCCUGGAAGAAUGCUAUGCUUUAAAAUGAUUUAAAAGAAAACUUCUUCCUACCUUGAAUGCACAGUGUGUUGUUUUUUCUUCAAGAACUUAAAAAAAAAGAAAACAAGAAACCCACAGCCAACCAACCCACAGUUGUCUAGAGAGUAUCAUAUAUCCAAUUCUUCAUCCCAUGGUACUUUGUACCUGCAAUAAUGAGGUGCCAGAGAAGUGACUGUACAGGUAAACAUGAGUGCUAUAAUGCACUCCUUGACUAUUAAUAAAUAUCACUAUCUCCUCGAUGGCUACAUCAUGUAGGAAUGAACUGUGAGGAGGAUAAUCUGGGAGAGAAUAACUGCAAAACCUCUGCAACAGUGAUCUCACAGUAACAUCUGCAAGCAGUCAUACAGUUACUCCGUAUCACUAAUGUCCAAAGCUGGAGGGUGAAGAGAACAGAAAGAAAAACAUCCUCAACUGCAGCUCCAUCAAAUGUUGUACAACAAAUUAACUAGUUAAAUAAAUUCUAUAGUUGAUUUUGCUACCACUUUUAUAAAAUCGAAGAUCAUGACAAUAAAAUGUAUAAUCAUGGCCAAAACU